RNAcentral lists this ribosomal RNA (482 nucleotides) under uncultured bacterium. RNAcentral describes it as "partial 16S ribosomal RNA". It matches the Rfam family "Bacterial small subunit ribosomal RNA", at positions 30 to 507 of the family's 1533-position model. The record is from RNAcentral.
UUGCACGCUGGCGGCAGGCCUAACACCUGCAAGUCGAGCGGAUGAAGGGAGCUUGCUCCUGGAUUCAGCGGCGGACGGGUGAGUAAUGCCUAGGAAUCUGCCUGGUAGUGGGGGAUAACGUCCGGAAACGGGCGCUAAUACCGCAUACGUCCUGAGGGAGAAAGUGGGGGAUCUUCGGACCUCACGCUAUCAGAUGAGCCUAGGUCGGAUUAGCUAGUUGGUGGGGUAAAGGCCUCCCAAGGCGACGAUCCGUAACUGGUCCGAGAGGAUAAUCAGUCACAUGGAACUGAGACACGGUCCAGACUCCUACGGGAGGCAGCAGUGGGGAAUAUUGGACAAUGGGCGAAAGCCUGAUCCAGCCAUGCCGCGUGUGUGAAGAAGGUCUUCGGAUUGUAAAGCACUUUAAGUUGGGAGGAAGGGCAGUAAGUUAAUACCUUGCUGUUUUGACGUUACCAACAGAAUAAGCACCGGCUAACUUCGUG